UACGUAGGGUGCAAGCGUUAAUCGGAAUUACUGGGCGUAAAGCGCGCGUAGGCGGACCUGCAAGUCGGGGGUGAAAUCCCGGGGCUCAACUCCGGAACUGCACUGGAUACUGCUCCGCUAGAGUACUGGAGAGGAAACUGGAAUUUACGGUGUAGCAGUGAAAUGCGUAGAGAUCGUAAGGAAGACCAGUGGCGAAGGCGAGUUUCUGGACAGUUACUGACGCUGAGGCACGAAGGCCAGGGGAGCAAACGGG
RNAcentral lists this ribosomal RNA (253 nucleotides) under uncultured bacterium. RNAcentral describes it as "partial 16S ribosomal RNA". It matches the Rfam family "Bacterial small subunit ribosomal RNA", at positions 524 to 776 of the family's 1533-position model. The record is from RNAcentral.